This 429-nucleotide ribosomal RNA is filed under the name Bacteroidota bacterium. Its description in RNAcentral is "Bacteroidetes bacterium partial 16S ribosomal RNA". It matches the Rfam family "Bacterial small subunit ribosomal RNA", at positions 355 to 776 of the family's 1533-position model. The record is from RNAcentral. Lineage: Bacteria; Pseudomonadati; Bacteroidota.
UAGGGAAUCUUCGGCAAUGGGGGGAACCCUGACCGAGCAACGCCGCGUGCGUGAAGAAGGUUUUCGGAUCGUAAAGCUCUGUUGUUAAGGAAGAACGAGUGUGAGAAUGGAAAGUUCAUACUGUGACGGUACUUAACCAGAAAGGGACGGCUAACUACGUGCCAGCAGCCGCGGUAAUACGUAGGUCCCGAGCGUUGUCCGGAUUUAUUGGGCGUUAAGCGAGCGCAGGCGGUUAGAUAAGUCUGAAGUUAAAGGCAGUGGCUCAACCAUUGUAGGCUUUGGAAACUGGUUAACUUGAGUGAAGAAGGGGAGAGUGGAAUUCCAUGUGUAGCGGUGAAAUGCGUAGAUAUAUGGAGGAACGCAGGUGGCGAAAGCGGCUCGCUGGUCUGUAACUGACGCUGAGGCUCGAAAGCGUGGGGAGCGAACAGG